UCUGUAUUAUCAACCCUGUGUUCAGCACCAAUGCAAAGCACAGCCCCACACCAGCCAUUGGGAAGAAAAUUAACCCUACCCCAGCCAAAGCCAGCACACUCCCACACUGACCUGCUCUGUGAUGUGUCUGUAAUAACAUGCAUAUACAUUACACGUGUGUGUGUGUGUGUGUGUAUCAGGAGUAGUUACUAAAAUACAGAAAUGUUAUCAGUAACAUUAAACAUGAAUAAUUUUCCCUAUAAUGAAAAUCUUCCCUCAUAAUACAGAAGUAAGGAAUUCUCAGACUAGAUUAAGUAGGAACCAGCUCAGCAUCCAAGCAUAUAGAGAAAAAAUAGGGAAGAAACUACUUAGAACUAGCUAAGAAGAGGGUUUCUGUAAACCAGAAAUUUCAGUUUAAAUUGUAAGUACAUGUUUUCUGCUUCAUGGAGAAUGAUCAUUUCCCAAAUAACCUAAAAAUUGGCCAUAGAAGCAAUUGCUUCUGUCCAUUAGAAUUUGACAAAAAUUUGACAAAAAUUAUUCAAAUUAACUACCUGAAACAAAAGUACUUGUUUCUCUAGAGGGAUACAAUAUGGUAAACAGAUGUACAUAGCAUGAUUAACUAAGGAGCUAGGUUAAAAAUAUUUUCUAUUGAAAAGAAGAAGGUCAAUAAUAGGUAAAUUAAAGGCUUUUCAUAUGUGAUUCUCUUACUCUUAAUAAAAUCUUCUCUUCUAGUUUCCCCUAAGAGACAAGCUUCUCUCAAGCACUGUGAUCACAGUAUGACAGAAAGUAGCACAAAUGACCAAAUAAGAUCUUCUAUCAUAAAUUUGCAAGGAAAUUCUAAUGAGCUGCUCCCCCCCAACCCCACCCCUUCCUCUUUUGGUUAAAAAACUCUUGCUUUUCUCAGACACAAGGGGAGAAUGUUGAUGCUCAGAGAUGCAAACUAGCCCUUUAAGGCCUUUCCUCAGGAACUGUGCCAACAUUUUUCCAUUUACUCAGCAAAAGCACCCUGCCUUUCAAGCCAGAUUUGCAUAUGCCUUAGUUUGGGAAGGAAACAUAUUCAUACCUAUUUCACUCAAAUUAUAAUAGUGUCACCCAUAGGGUUUAAGAGUUUGUCUGCUUGGACACUGCAAAAUCCUGGUGACACAUAUAAAAAAAUAACUUUACUAGACACCAUUUAUCAUGAGUCUAAUCAACCUAUGUAUUUCAUUCCAAGGUAUGACAACAAUAUAUUUCCUCUUGAUGUUGCUGGCACUGACUUGGAUCAUGGGCCUGCUCUGACCAGGAACAGCUCCAGAACAACAGGCACAUGUUGGAAAACUGCGCUCAGCAUAAAAUUCUAGAAGUGGCACAUUUCAACUGCUCCCUAUCCUUUGGUCUUAAGACAACUAAAGAGCAUCCAGGAAUUUUAUUUCAAAUGUUCAAUUUCAUUCAUUCUUUUGUGGAAAAUUGCAGUAGUCAUCUUCUGUGAAGUGAUUUUAAAUGGUCUGCAAUUACUGGAUUAUCAAGUUGUCCAUGAAGUUGGGGAAUGACCUGAAAACACUAAGCAGCUCAGAAAUUGCAGAGAUAUUGACUUUGAGUUAAUAGUAUAUGCUCAUAAUAAAUAAUAUAUCUAAGCUAAAAACCUUAGGUUAGCAAAAUUUGCUAACCUAAAAAUAUUUUUAAUAAUUGAGUGAUGUUUUUCCAGUUUUCCAGUUUUGCAGUGCAUCACUGGGGAAGAAAGAACUAGCCUUUUCUCAUGUUUUCCUUGUAUUCCAGGAACGCCAAGCUGUUAUAAAGAGGCCCCAGGGACUUGGCUCAUAAGGCUGCUAAACUAGUACUAAGAGGUCUCAGUAUGGAAAAACACUCUCAAAAUGUCUUUUUGCAAUUAUAACCCACUUCCUUUUCACAUCGCUGAGGAAUAUAAGAUAGAGCCCCUCCUCAGUGCUCCAUUAAUCCUCUUGAGAGAGAGCUUUAUUCAAAGAUGGUUAUGGAGAAAUGCAUAUAAUAUUUGUAAGCAAUAUCCUGAUUUGGCUGGCUAGUUCAUUUCUAAUGGGAAGUCUGCAAAACUGUUUCUAAGUUUCUACCAUAAUUUGGCUUUUUUUCUACAUGCCUUUGAACUUGAUAAAACAGACUACAAGGCUCCCAUCCUCCUCACAUUAUAUGUCCUGUGACACAGGAGAUUUUUCAUUUUACACCAGCUCACUCAAUUAAAAAAAAAAAGUGAUUAAUUUUUAUUGAUUAACAAAUUACUGUUAGCAGGAAUCCCUUCAAUGGAUGGUCUGACCCUGAAAAAUGAUGCAGAAAUUAACUCAAUUUUGAUACGCCAAAGAGAAAUGCAUGAGUGGUUUAGAUUCCUCUCUAAACACACCUGUUCACAAUGUGUACCCUUACUUAAGGUGAAGCCUUUGCUAUAAACUGUCAUAUCCUUAAGGUAAACUCAGCUUAGCCUGUGGGUACAUGUUUAAAAUCACCCUUACAAGUGCACAGCCCUAAGACCAGCUGUAUGAUCCCAAACUCCAGCAGAGCCUUAAUUUGUUCAGCACUACUCCAGUACUGCAGAGUAAUUCCAAAAGAUAUAAUGCACAUAAGCACAACUGGUGUAAAAGUUUCUUGAAAACCCUCAAUUUUAUUGGAAAAGGAAAAUAAUAUUAAGUAGACCUGUGAUGAUCAUACAGGAUGUUUUAUUAGUGUAACUUCCCUCUCAAAGACACUACUGUAAACACUGGGGCUAGUAAUUCUGCAACAGUUUUUUUCAUUCUAUACUGCAUUGUUUUAUACUGCAUUGUUUCAAGUAGGUUCUCUAAUUAAUUCUAAGGAAAGUGUAAAAGAAAUUGUUGUAAUACAUGCAUCUCAAAUGGCUUGAGCCAUAUAAGACAUCUUAAGACAAGCAUAAUCACACUAUACAUUUUAUUUACGGUGUUCUAUUACUGCUGGUUACCAGCAACUUUACUGUAGUGAGAACUGUGCAUGAAAACAUCCAAGAUACUGCAUAACAGUGCAGGAGAAACCAAUUCUGAAAUUGUUAUUUAUGGAGCUCAAUCAGUCUUCAGUCACAAAUUAGCUCAAGUCUACCAAAAUCCUAAUGUAAUUUUAUUGUCCCUUUCUGACCAUCUGAGAUGGCCUUGUAUUUGGAAGUAAAAGUAUAAUUUGGUGGUUUGACAAGUUUCAUGAUGUUUCUGCAAAACACUGAACAGAUUUUGGUUUGGCUUUGAGGGAAGGGGAGGUGUUUUACACAAGGGGGAAUUUUUUCUAAAAUAAUUAAAGUUCUGAGAACUUUUUAAUACAAAUUCCAUUAUAUGUGUUACGAAUGUAUGUAUUAUUUGUGUUCAACUACUUUGGAGACCAUUACAUUCCAAGGUUCCCUGAGUUCUCCCCAUAGCGUAAUAGCUGCAUAAAGAUCAAGACAUGACAGAGUCCACAAAAUUUCAAAUUCCAAAGGAAAACACAGUUUACAGCAAGAGCCAUAGAUGCUUUUGGACUAGCAUACCAUCACUGGCAAGACAAGCCCUGAUUUCAUCCCACUUAAUGUAAAAAUUCAACCAGGCUAAUUCAAUUAUCAGUGAAUUGCAAAAAAGAUGCAUUUUGUUGCACUAUGUCUUAACCUUAUGAAUAAUAUAUAACUUUUCAAAAUUCUUCGGACUGGCCACAGUUAACAUUUACCAUUUUAAUCAUGCAAAAUUUAAUUACACUGAAUAUCUUGAGCCACAGUACCUUUCCCUGCGAUAGCCAGCAUAUUAACAUCAUCUAAGGUAAUAUAAAAUCUAAAAAUAUGGUACUACUCUUCUGUGCUUUUGGCAACAUACACUCUCUUAACCUGCAUCUCGUAAUCAUCUAUUGUAUCUAUGUGCAAGUGAGUGCCAACUGUUUGCAUUUAUCUAUUGUGACUGAAAGGAAAAUUCAGAAAGUACUCACCAGCCUUCUAACGAUUUCUCUGUCUGACAGGGGUGACAGCUGACAGGUUUUAACUACAUAUAAAGUAUACAUAACACAUACUUUUUUCAUAUAUACUUGUAUUUGUUAUGAUUGCACAGGAUGAUCUCUUACUGUAACCCAUCCUCCCCACAAGUCAUUCAUCUGAAUACAGGGAUGAGCAAUCCUACAGCUAGUGUUCUUAUUCUUCUAUAUUAUUCUCACAAUUUAAGAUUUAACUCCUUUUUCCUUCGAAACUGAUCAUUCUAGGUCAGAAGCUGAAAGCAUGCUAGCAAGUUCCCUGACUUCUAGUCUCCAUUUUAUCUUAAACUAGCUUCAUUCUCUGAAUACUGAUAGGAUAAAAGCAAUAGCUCCAUCAGAAGAGUGUUAUUUCCAACCAGUGAUGGUUUCCUCCCAUCUCAGUUUCAGGUGAACAAAACUAUUAGAUGAAUAAGUCAAUAGAAUACUGCUAAGUACUCUCAUAAACAUCAGAAAAAAUGGCAUGACAGGCAGCAAAAACUAUUGUAAAUAUUAAUUUAAUGCAAGACACAUACCAGUCUGGGAGAUAAGAAUUAUGCUAUAAUUUAAAGUUAUACUUUAAUUUUUCCAUAGAUAAAACUACUCAUUCCAUACCUAUAUGGUUGUUCUUUAUCUCCUUCCACUCCAGAUUCCAGUGCUUUUUUCACUACUAGUUCAUUUUCUUGUGGGUAAACUGAACAAGUGCAGUAAACAAUAGCUUGUACUUUGUUAACUACAAAACAAAACAAAUUUUCUACUGUUCAGAUUCUUCAUACAGACAGUGGCUUGGUAAGGACUGAAAACAUCACAAAAAUUAUGCUUGGAUGUCACUUUUACCAAUAAGAAUAUCCUCCUGCACACAUUAGUAUGCAAACUCUAAUGGUUUUUAAUAAUUAAAAUGUUAAAUAUUUGCAGAUCACAGCACAAAUUCAAAGCUGUAUCUAUCUUUUCACACAGCUACAAAAGGAGAGGGGAGGGAAGUGGCAGCAUGCAGAUGGAGUCUGACUACAUUUGCAGCAUUUCCAAAUCAGAGUAUGACUAAGUCACAAGCCAGUUCUAUACACAAUGCUGAAGUCUGGUGAACACUAGGACACAGAGACACCUUCAGAUUGGAGGCGAUCAUUAUUCAGGGGUUUUGGUUACAUGCUUAUUGUUAAUUAAUAGAGUAAUCCAUGUAUUUUUAACAAUGUAAAAACUGGUGAUAGUACAACGGAAUCGAUAGUACGAGGUCCUCCCAGAAACUGGAGAACUAGCACACUUACAUUUCAGUGCAUGAAUCAACUCGUUAAGCUGCCUCUCAGCAAGAAUACCAAGUUUAUCCUCAGACACAAAUCCCUGGAAAAGGUCUCGUAGCAACCCUGCAUCUAAAAGUAGAGAGUUGUAAAUUUAGUAUUGCAACUUAGUGUCUUAAAAUUCAGUUGUUUGCAGAAACAGACGUGGUUGUUACUAAUGCAGUUAGAAGGUAGGUUUUACAAAUUAGAAUACCAAGAAGUGCCUAAUUUAUUUGUUUUCCUUCUUUACCUGUAAUUACUGGUGCCUCUUAUUUGCUUCUAUUUAAUGAAAAUUGUACAGUGAACAGACUUAUACAAACAGUCAAUAAAGGAAUGUAAGCAAAUGGAAAAUAAUAUACAUAUUGGUAUAUUGAAAUAAA
Pipra filicauda (Wire-tailed manakin) is the source of this 5536-nucleotide long non-coding RNA. RefSeq lists it as uncharacterized. Lineage: Eukaryota; Metazoa; Chordata; Aves; Passeriformes; Pipridae. The transcript is spliced from 2 exons. The record is from RefSeq and is a predicted model, not a curated record.